GACGGAGGGGGCUAGCGUUGUUCGGAAUUACUGGGCGUAAAGCGCACGUAGGCGGACGAGAAAGUCAGAGGUGAAAUCCCAGGGCUCAACCCUGGAACUGCCUUUGAAACUCCUUGUCUUGAGGUCGAGAGAGGUGAGUGGAAUUCCGAGUGUAGAGGUGAAAUUCGUAGAUAUUCGGAGGAACACCAGUGGCGAAGGCGGCUCACUGGCUCGAUACUGACGCUGAGGUGCGAAAGCGUGGGGAGCAAACAGG
Molecule: ribosomal RNA, 253 nt
Filed under: uncultured bacterium
Lineage: Bacteria
Description: partial 16S ribosomal RNA
Rfam family: Bacterial small subunit ribosomal RNA
Source: RNAcentral